AACGAACGCUGGUGGCGUGCUUAACACAUGCAAGUCGAACGAGAAAGUUUCCUUCGGGAAAUUAGUAAAGUGGCGCAAGGGUGAGUAUCACGUGAAUAAUCUGCCCUCGAGAUCGGGAUAACAUGGUGAAAACUAUGCUAAUACCGGAUAAGACCACAUUUCAUAGAAAUGCGGUAAAAGAGGGGUCUCAAUCUUCACUCGAGGAUGAGUUCGCGCAACAUUAGCUUGUUGGUGAGAUAAAAGCUCACCAAGGCUACGAUGUUUAGCCGGCCUGAGAGGGUGAACGGCCACACUGGAACUGAGACACGGUCCAGACUCCUACGGGAGGCAGCAGUAGGGAAUCUUGCACAAUGGAGGAAACUCUGAUGCAGCGAUGCCGCGUGAGUGAAG
RNAcentral lists this ribosomal RNA (390 nucleotides) under uncultured Nitrospina sp. RNAcentral describes it as "bacterial SSU rRNA". It matches the Rfam family "Bacterial small subunit ribosomal RNA", at positions 29 to 410 of the family's 1533-position model. The record is from RNAcentral. Lineage: Bacteria; Pseudomonadati; Nitrospinota; Nitrospinia; Nitrospinales; Nitrospinaceae.